AGACGUGAGAGGGAUCGGUCUGUGACAUCUGCCGCUCUGCAGACUCAGCUGAUGUGACUGACCUGGCGAGUGUCCCUUCCUUCAUUCUCCAUGCCAUGUGCUUUGUUCCUGAAGGUCCACCGCCUUCAAAAAAGAAAGCCUUCUUUGAUAGAGGACCACCAUCUCCUUGGUCAAGGGUAUACGAUUAUCUGGGUUCCCCUGCCAGAACCUCCAGACAAAUUCUCAGGAGUGCAAAGGAAAAAUGAGGAAAAUAUGGAAAGCUUUCAUUUUUUACCAAUUGCAUUGUCUUUUUUUUUUU
Non-coding RNA from Cavia porcellus (domestic guinea pig), 298 nucleotides. It matches the Rfam family "7SK RNA". From Rfam's summary of the family: 7SK was discovered as an abundant small nuclear RNA in the mid-70s but a possible function has only recently been suggested. Two independent studies have found that 7SK RNA binds the CDK9/cyclin T complex (known as elongation factor P-TEFb). P-TEFb activates transcription by phosphorylating the C-terminal domain of RNA polymerase II. The record is from Rfam. NCBI's taxonomy places the organism in Eukaryota, Metazoa, Chordata, Mammalia, Rodentia, Caviidae.